This 26-nucleotide non-coding RNA is filed under the name Homo sapiens (human). Lineage: Eukaryota; Metazoa; Chordata; Mammalia; Primates; Hominidae. The record is from RNAcentral.
UCUUGAGUUUGUCAGGGAAGUAUGGG